Molecule: long non-coding RNA, 832 nt
Organism: Triticum aestivum (bread wheat)
Lineage: Eukaryota; Viridiplantae; Streptophyta; Magnoliopsida; Poales; Poaceae
Exons: 3
Source: RefSeq, a predicted model, not a curated record
CUUCCAUUUCCUUCCUCUUGUUCUUUCUUGCCCUGGCCAUGGUUGCUUCUGCUUCUGUUCGCUAUGUGCGGCGCCGUCGGGGUCGUCCUCCUGGGAUUCGGGCCUCCGUUAAUGCAUGUGUUCGUCGUACUGGCGAGCCUGUUCCUCCUGCUGAUUCAUCGUCAGUGACACCAGCCGUUGCUAUGUGUCGUCAGUCCGCUGGAGUUCAUUCAGGGAGGCGUUCCCGCUCCGCAGCGGCUCGCCAGCCGCUCUGUUCUCGCCGGCCUGGUGUACAGUGUUCUGACUCCGAAUAGUUUCUCCAUGGAGAUUUCCAUAGCCGUCGCCGGGAGAUUUCGUUAGGGAAGCGGCCUGUUGACUCUACUGUUGAUUCUGUUAUUAGUUGUGCUCCUUCCUUCGUGGGUCAUGGCUUUCCAUAUGUUGUUCGUCCUGCCGGUGUGCCACCUAGUACUUUAUGUUGUUCUUUUUCUUUUAAUCCAGUCCGCUUAGUUGUUCGCCUUCCUCUCUCUUCUGCUAUUCAUUUUCUUCAUUGUAAGAUGCGGCGGUUUUGUUUGGCCUCUGUUGCUCUCCUGCUGGUUGGCCUCGAAGAUCACUGUUCUCAGCCGAAGCUGUUCGGCCAUGUGAGUUUUUGUUGUUUUUUGAUGUGGUAUGUGAGGGAGUCCUGGAUUAGGGGGUAUUCGGACAGCCGAACUAUAUACAUCGUCCGGACUAUCGAAGCGUGAAGAUACAAGACUCAAGACUUCGGCCCGUGUCCGGAUGGGACUCUCCUUUGCGUGGACGACAAGCUUGGCGAUCCGGAUAUUAUGUUUCCUUCCUUGUAACCGACUCCAUGUAA